Molecule: ribosomal RNA, 380 nt
Filed under: uncultured bacterium
Lineage: Bacteria
Description: bacterial SSU rRNA
Rfam family: Bacterial small subunit ribosomal RNA
Source: RNAcentral
GACGGAGGGGGCAAGCGUUGUCCGGAAUCACUGGGCGUAAAGCGCGUGUAGGUGGUCCGGUGCGUCGGCGCUGAAAGCGCCAGGCUUAACCUGGCGAGGCGUGCCGAUACGACCGGACUUGAGGCAGGGAGAGGGUGGCGGAAUUCCGGGUGUAGUGGUGAAAUGCGUAGAGAUCCGGAGGAACGCCAGAGACGAAGGUGGCCACCUGGCCCUCGCCUGACACUGAGACGCGACAGCGUGGGGAGCAAACCGGAUUAGAUACCCGGGUAGUCCACGCCGUAAACGAUGCCAGCUCGUUCUCUGUCCUGUUUUAAAGCAGGGUGGGGGGCUUAGCUCACGCGGUAAGCUGGCCGCCUGGGAACUACGAGCGCAAGCUUAAA